ACGAACGCUGGCGGCAUGCCUAACACCUGCAAGUCGAACGAGACCUUCGGGUCUAGUGGCGCCCGGGUGCGUAACGCGUGGGAACCUGCCCUUAGGUUCGGAAUAACUCCCCGAAAGGGGUGCUAAUACCGGAUAAUGUCUUCGGACCAAAGAUUUAUCGCCUUUGGAUGGGCCCGCGUUGGAUUAGCUAGUUGGUAGGGUAAAAGCCUACCAAGGCGACGAUCCAUAGCUGGUCUGAGAGGAUGAUCAGCCACACUGGGACUGAGACACGGCCCAGACUCGUACGGAGAGCAGCAGUAGGGAAUAUUGUACAAUGAGCGAAAGCCUGAUCCAGCAGUGCCGCGUGAGUGAGGAAGGCCUUAGGGUUGUAAAGCUCUUUUACCCGGGAUGAUAAUGACAGUACCGGGAGAAUAAGCUCCGGCUAACUCCGUG
Molecule: ribosomal RNA, 432 nt
Filed under: uncultured bacterium
Lineage: Bacteria
Description: partial 16S ribosomal RNA
Rfam family: Bacterial small subunit ribosomal RNA
Source: RNAcentral